Molecule: ribosomal RNA, 253 nt
Filed under: uncultured bacterium
Lineage: Bacteria
Description: partial 16S ribosomal RNA
Rfam family: Bacterial small subunit ribosomal RNA
Source: RNAcentral
UACGGAGGGUGCAAGCGUUAUCCGGAUUCACUGGGUUUAAAGGGUGCGUAGGUGGGUUGGUAAGUCAGUGGUGAAAUCCCCGAGCUUAACUCGGGAACUGCCAUUGAUACUAUUAGUCUUGAAUAUUGUUGAGGUAGGCGGAACGGGUCAUGUAGCGGUGAAAUGCAUAGAUAUGACCCGGAACACCGAUUGCGAAGGCAGCCUACUAAGCAAUUAUUGACGCUGAGGCACGAAAGCGUGGGGAUCAAACAGG